This 3466-nucleotide long non-coding RNA is filed under the name Homo sapiens (human). Its description in RNAcentral is "non-protein coding lnc-KRTAP12-4-1:1". Lineage: Eukaryota; Metazoa; Chordata; Mammalia; Primates; Hominidae. The record is from RNAcentral.
CAGGGGCCCACCACCAUGCCUGGCUGAUUUUUGUAUUUUUAGUAGGGAUGGGGUUUCACCAUGUUGGCCAGGCUGGCCUCAAACUCCUGACCUCAGGUGAUCCACCCACCUCGGCCUCCCAAAGUGCUGGGAUUGGAUGCUGCUUCAGAAACUGGUAUGUCCAGGGGAGGCAGGAAUCCUGUACUCAUCCUGGAAUUUCACACCAGCUCCUCACUUUCCCCCAAGCUGCCUCUGCAGGGGUGAGACUGAUCAGACCCACAGCGAGGGAGAGGAACCAGAUAUGAAUAGCUCAUGCCCGACUCCGUGAUGGGUCCUCCUGGGCUCCGUCUGCAGAGGAGGUGUCCUGUGGCCAUUAGUGCUACUCGUGGGAAGUGGGCACUUCUGAGGUGUGGUGUCAGGAAGCCCACUGUGGUCACACGCCUGAGCCAUGCUCUGCAGACGCCAACGUGGCUGAUGUUUUCGUCCAUCUUCUCUGUCCGAGCUGGUUCAGGACUUCAGGAUGAGUCACUUAUUGAACCUUCAAGCCCUAGUAUAAUUUGGCACAGUGGUAACGACCAUGGAUCCCAGAGUGAAACUAAGCAGUCCAGAUCCCUGCACCUCUGCAGUGGUGCAGACACGCACCCAUUGUGCAAACCCUCUAUGACUUACAAAUUGCACAUCUGUAAAAUGGGGUAUCGGCCACCCCGAAUGCUGGCAAAGAUGAAUGAGAUAAUCACAGCCUGGCACAGUGCUAGACCUCUGUGCAUUACUGUUACCUCAAUAAUCAUCAUUAUUAUUCCACAAUAUAGAGCCCAGUAGUUUGGCUCUCGUUACUUGGGAAGACCCUGAUGAUGACUGAGCUUCUCAGUCAAAACGGGGCCCCUGGUGUAGUGAGUGUGACUGUGCUUGUGUGAGCUCCAGAUGGCAUUUACAACGGGGGGACCUUGAACAUCCAUGAGGUGGGCCCCUGGCCUCACUGACAGCCCUUCACCAGCUACCCCUGCUCUGUUUCCAGGAAACACACGGUCUGCUGAAUGAUAGGGCACCCCUAGCUGAAAGAGUUUCCUGAACUGAGUAACCUCAACAGAAAAACACAGAAAGAUCAACCAGACAGGGCAGAGGAGGAAAAACCACCCACGAGGAAGAUGCCAGGGGGCUUGUUGCCAGGAUGCCGGUAGCCUGGGUAUAAAGGCCACCUAAGGAAGCAGGCUCCAGACCAGCCCUGUCCUCUGCGCCCCCCACCUGUCCACACUCCAUCAUGUGCCACACCAGCCACUCUUCGGGCUGCCCAAUGGCCUGCCCUGGCUCCCCGUGCUGUGUCCCCAGCACCUGCUACCCACCCGAGGGCUAUGGGACCUCCUGCUGCUGCUCAGCCCCCUGUGUGGCUCUGCUGUGCCGGCCCCUGUGUGGGGUAUCCACCUGCUGCCAGCCAGCCUGCUGUGUGCCCAGCCCCUGCCAGGUGGCCUGCUGUGUGCCUGUGAGCUGCAAGCCUGUUUUGUGUGUGGCUUCCUUCUGCCCAACCUCUGGGUGCUGCCAGCCCUUCUGCCCCACCCUGGUCUAUAGACCUGUCACCUGGAGCACCCCCACUGGCUGCUGAGCAGGUGGCCUCCUAUGACCCUCGUAGGUGCGAGGUCAGAAGCCAGCAGGCUCUCUGAACUCCUGCCAGGCAGUCCCCACAUCCUCCCACAGCAAACUGUCGUCACCUGACUAGACCGCCUGCCUCCUUUGCGGCACCGUCACUAGAUCCCAGCCGGUGAGGCCAUGCGCCUUUCUACACAGUUUCUCCUGGGUUCACAGCCUGGGCCAUCCACAGGGCCCUCCGCACUGUCUGAUGUUAGGUCUCUUGCAAAUAUCAUAAAUACCAGAUGCUGAGUGCUCACCUGAGUCUGUGUGAUGCCUUCUCCUCAGUGUCUUUCCCACACUCCUUCCUCAGGAGGUACCUUCCCCAGGAUUCUGGAAAGCUCCUUCCCUGCAGAGAAGGGGCAGGUACCAGAUGAAUGUUAGGCCUGGUGAGCGGCCUCUCAACAGCACCCUCUCGGGCUAGUGGGCCGUGCUCCUGAGCUUGGCCUGAUGGGAACCCCCAACCCCAGUCACAUCAGGCUUCCUUCGUCCCACUUUGUUCCUUAAAUGUAUGAGGUCAGUUCUUACUCUCUUCUGGGUGAGAUUGAGGACAAAUCACUAAUUUUGUAGUUUGAUCCAUUUUAGGUAAAACGGGCCAUCUGCUUAUUAGCUGGUAUGUGCAACCCACUCUUGUCAAGAAAUUAAAACCUUAAACUAAAUUUAAAUCUAUAGCUACUCCUUCAUCCAACUGGAUGGGAAAGAGGUUUGUGGUGUUGAUAAAAAAAGCUUUUAAGGAAUUAAAGUGAGCUUUACUCAGAAGUUUUACCGAGGACUAUAGAAGAGUGAGGUUUCUAGCCGGGGGCAGCUCUGUCAGAGAUUCCGGCUCCGUGUUUCAGCUCACACCAGCCCGGGGGCAGCCCUGUCAGAGGCUCCGCCCCGGGUUUCAGCUCACAGUUCAUAUGCAGGUGGCGGGAGGUCAGCACGUGCAGAUCACAUGAAACUGGCUCAGAAGCUGCAUCAAAGCAGAAUCACAUCCGGGUUUGGGGGCAGGAGCACAUCUGGUUAUGGACCGCAGAGGCAUCAUCACUCGCCCUAUAAGACGUUAUCUUGUUCAGGAAAAGGCAAGGACUAGCAUCAUUUAUCUUUCUUUUUUUUUGAGAUGGAGUCUCGCUCUGUCACCAGGCUGGAGUGCAGCGGCGUGAUCUCAGCUCACUGCAAGCUCCACCUCCCAAGUUCACGCCAUUCUUCUGCCUCAGCCUCCCGAGUAUCUGGGACUACAGGUGCCCGCCGCCACGCUUGGUUAAUUUUUUUUGUAUUUUUAGUAGAGACGGGGUUUCACCGUGUUAGCCAGGAUGGUUUUGAUCUCCUGACCUUGUGAUCCACCCGCCUCGGCCUCCCAAAGUGCUGGGAUUACAGGUGUGAGCCACCACACCCCGCCAGAAGACUCUACAUUUUAACCCUAUAUUUGCAGGUUGAUGAUUCUGAGUUCUGACUUUUCCUUGAUAUAAUUUAACUAUUUAAAAAUGUGUACAAGAAUGGGCCAUGAUAUGUAGUCAACUGGAGUCCCAGAAAACCUGGCACGCCUUAAUGUUUGAGAAUCCCAGUUUUGGCCAUUUCAGUGUUCAAUCUCCUUUAGCUAACCCCUUACUUCUAGAAAGAUACUUGCAAGUAUAGACUCUGUAUGGGUUACACAUGAAGCCAUUCCUACCUAGUAUCUUUCAACGAGGAGAAUUCCCCCUUCGUAAGACAUAAAAAGUCUCACAGAAGAAUGUACCCCUUCAGCAAGAAGUAAAAUGAACUAACUGAAUACAACUCAGGACUCUCAACCAAGUGGGAGGUCAGAGACUCAGGAGAGAGUCACUCAGUCACCUGUAACCAUGGAGGAGCCGUGGGGGCUCAAGUGGCCUGUGCUGGUACCGGGGUGCUG